ACCCUGUAGAACCGAAUUUGUGU
Molecule: non-coding RNA, 23 nt
Filed under: Callorhinchus milii (elephant shark)
Lineage: Eukaryota; Metazoa; Chordata; Chondrichthyes; Chimaeriformes; Callorhinchidae
Also listed under: 12 other names
Source: RNAcentral